ACUUUUUAGAAAUAACCACCAGAUACUUGAUUCCUAUUGGACGCUAUGUAAAACUAUUUUAUAUUAACUGUGCAUGUCUUAUUUUUUUUCAUUUUCUUUUCUUUAAAAAUUAUCAAUAAAUGCUUAAAAGCUUAUAACAGACUCAAUGUGUCAGUGUCUGACACCACACGACAUUGACACAUGUGGUUACAUUCAAUUAUUU
This 202-nucleotide long non-coding RNA is filed under the name Trifolium pratense (red clover). Its description in RNAcentral is "long non-coding RNA (TPRA_LNC007782)". The record is from RNAcentral. Lineage: Eukaryota; Viridiplantae; Streptophyta; Magnoliopsida; Fabales; Fabaceae.